AUUGAACGCUGGCGGCAUGCCUUACACAUGCAAGUCGAACGGCAGCAUGGAGGAGCUUGCUCCUCUGAUGGCGAGUGGCGAACGGGUGAGUAAAGCAUCGGAACGUACCGUGUAGUGGGGGAUAACGUAGCGAAAGUUACGCUAAUACCGCAUACGCACUGAGGUGGAAAGCAGGGGAUCGCAAGACCUUGCGCUAUACGAGCGGCCGAUGUCGGAUUAGCUAGUUGGUAGGGUAAAGGCCUACCAAGGCGACGAUCCGUAGCGGGUCUGAGAGGAUGAUCCGCCACACUGGGACUGAGACACGGCCCAGACUCCUACGGGAGGCAGCAGUGGGGAAUUUUGGACAAUGGGCGCAAGCCUGAUCCAGCCAUGCCGCGUGAGUGAAGAAGGCCUUCGGGUUGUAAAGCUCUUUCAGACGGAAAGAAAUCGGUGUGUCUAAUACACGCACUGGAUGACGGUACCGUAAGAAGAAGCACCGGCUAACUACGUG
This 490-nucleotide ribosomal RNA is filed under the name uncultured bacterium. RNAcentral describes it as "bacterial SSU rRNA". It matches the Rfam family "Bacterial small subunit ribosomal RNA", at positions 30 to 507 of the family's 1533-position model. The record is from RNAcentral.